Molecule: ribosomal RNA, 465 nt
Filed under: uncultured bacterium
Lineage: Bacteria
Description: partial 16S ribosomal RNA
Rfam family: Bacterial small subunit ribosomal RNA
Source: RNAcentral
GACGAACGCUGGCGGCGUGCUUAACACAUGCAAGUCGAACGGAAAGGCCCCUUUGGGGGUCCUCGAGUGGCGAACGGGUGAGUAACACGUGAGUAACCUGCCCUUGACGUCGGGAAAACUUCAGGAAACUGGGGCAAAUACCCGAUAGGAAUCCGGGCUGCAUGGGGGGGGUGGGAGAGCUUCGGCGGUUUUGGAUGGACUCGCGGCUUAUAGGCUUGUUGGUGGGGUAGUGGCUUACCAAGGCUGUGACGGGUAGGCGGCCUGAGAGGGCGAACGGCCACCUUGGGUCUGAGGUGCGGCCCCGACUCCUACGGGUGGACGCUGUGGGGAAUCUUGCUCAAUGGGCGGCAGCCUGAUGCAGAAGCGCCGCGUGCGGGAUGCCGGCCUUGGGGUUGUAAAACGCUUUCAGCAGGGGCGAAGCUUGUGGUGACGGUACCUGCAGAAGAAGCACCGGCUAACUACGUG